UUGCUGUGAUGACAAUCUUAGGACACCUUUGGAACACCCAUGAAAAAAAAUUAACUCUCUCUGAGCAAC
Molecule: small nucleolar RNA, 69 nt
Filed under: Mesitornis unicolor (brown roatelo)
Lineage: Eukaryota; Metazoa; Chordata; Aves; Mesitornithiformes; Mesitornithidae
Description: Small nucleolar RNA SNORD58
Rfam family: Small nucleolar RNA SNORD58
About the family: snoRNA U58 is found in introns 1, 3 and 6 of the ribosomal protein RPL17 gene in humans. U58 is a member of the C/D class of snoRNA which contain C (UGAUGA) and D (CUGA) box motifs.
Source: Rfam by way of RNAcentral